GGACUACUUGGGUACGCACUAUAACCCUUUGUGACAUACCUACAACUGUUGCUUCGGCGGGUAGGCCGUCCCCUGAAAAGGACGCCUCCCGGCCCGGACCGGACCCCCCGUGGGGCCGGACUCGGCGCCCGCCGGAGGAUAACCAAACGCUAUUUUAACGACGUUUCUUCUGAGUGGCAUAAGCAAAAUAAUCAAAACUUUUAACAACGGAUCUCUUGGUUCUGGCAUCGAUGAAGAACGCAGCGAAAUGCGAUAAGUAAUGUGAAUUGCAGAAUUCAGUGAAUCAUCGAAUCUUUGAACGCACAUUGCGCCCGCCAGCAUUCUGGCGGGCAUGCCUGUUCGAGCGUCAUUUCAACCCUCAAGCUCUGCUUGGUGUUGGGGCUCUACGGUCGACGUAGGCCCUCAAAGGUAGUGGCGGACCCUCCCGGAGCCUCCUUUGCGUAGUAACAUUUCGUCUCGCACUGGGAUCCGGAGGGACUCUUGCCGUAAAACCCCCCAAUUUUUCAAGGUUGACCUCGGAUCAGGUAGGAAUACCCGCUGAACUUAAGCAUAUCAAUAGCCGGAGGAA
RNAcentral lists this ribosomal RNA (568 nucleotides) under Colletotrichum boninense. Its description in RNAcentral is "eukaryotic LSU rRNA". The stretch from base 196 to 349 matches the Rfam family "5.8S ribosomal RNA". The record is from RNAcentral. Lineage: Eukaryota; Fungi; Ascomycota; Sordariomycetes; Glomerellales; Glomerellaceae.